Caretta caretta (loggerhead turtle) is the source of this 998-nucleotide long non-coding RNA. RefSeq lists it as uncharacterized. NCBI's taxonomy places the organism in Eukaryota, Metazoa, Chordata, Testudines, Cheloniidae. The record is from RefSeq and is a predicted model, not a curated record.
UGGGGGAGAGGCAGGGAACUGCUGGCUGCCGCCAUCUUUGGUCCAGGCACCUAGAAGGGAAGACCAGGAGCAAGUAGCCUCGGGCGCCAUCUUUGUUCAUCCCCGGGCAUCAACCGGCGCGUUACAACGGGGCGGGCGCACCGAGAUAUAGACAGACUUACUGAGAGUUGAGAUGACACUUGAAGAAUUAAAGCAGGCUCCCAAAUACAGACUAACACGGCUGCUACUCUGAAACCUGUAGUGAUGAAGAGAAUGUGAUGAAGCCCCUUCGGUAACUUUUAGUCUAGUUAGUAAAACAAGAGCCCUUGAAUAGAACUAUGUUUACACUGCAUUUUUAGGAUAGCAUCCUUUCUUAAGAUAGCAAUCUUUUCCCUAGAUAGUGGCAGAUCAUGUAAAGUCUUAGGCUAUGUCUACACUACGGCUUAUGUUGGCAUAAUUUAUGUCGCUCAAUGGUGUGAAUAAAUCACCUCCAUGAGCGACGUAAGUUACACCAACUCCCGCUGACACAGCUAUCACUGCUCGCUAAGGUUGUUUUAUUAUGCCAACAGGAGCGCUGUAUGUGUAGACAUGCCGUUAUUGUUGAUCCUGGGUUGUUGGUGGUCUCAGGAUGCUAGAUAAAUGAAUCUCAAUUAUGGCACAAACUGAUGAACUGUGCCCCUGGUUCUCUAACCUUGACAUAACAUUUAUACUCACAUCUAUAAAAUUUUAAAUGAUCACUGUAAAAUUAUAACAUCCUAAGGCAGAAAAGGCAGUUUGAGCAAAAAGAGAAGGCAUUUUUUUUCAGGUCAGAUUGGCAAUGACUUUGGGUUUAUUUGCCUUCCUCUGCAGCAUAUGGGUGAGAGUCAGUUGCCCAGAUUAUCUGGGUAUAUCUCACUUAAUAAUUUCCCUGCCAUUGUGGGGGCCUUGAGCACUGGUGCACCUCGGUCCCUCCCACUCUCUGCUUGUGGCACACAAUAGUCUAGUCUCCUGUGGGCUGUCGUACUUUGGUCUAAUUUUGG